GACGAACGCUGGCGGCGUGCUUAACACAUGCAAGUCGAACGCUGAACCCGCUUCGGUGGGGGAUGAGUGGCGAACGGGUGAGUAACACGUGGGCAACCUGCCCCCGGCUCUGGGAUAACUCCAAGAAAUUGGGGCUAAUACCGGAUGUGACCGCUGGCCGCAUGGUCUGGUGGUGGAAAGGGUUUCCGGCUGGGGAUGGGCCCGCGGCCUAUCAGCUUGUUGGUGGGGUAGUGGCCUACCAAGGCGACGACGGGUAGCCGGCCUGAGAGGGUGACCGGCCACACUGGGACUGAGACACGGCCCAGACUCCUACGGGAGGCAGCAGUGGGGAAUAUUGCGCAAUGGGCGGAAGCCUGACGCAGCGACGCCGCGUGGGGGAUGACGGCCUUCGGGUUGUAAACCUCUUUCAGCAGGGACGAAGCGAAAGUGACGGUACCUGCAGAAGAAGCACCGGCCAACUACGUG
RNAcentral lists this ribosomal RNA (465 nucleotides) under uncultured bacterium. RNAcentral describes it as "partial 16S ribosomal RNA". It matches the Rfam family "Bacterial small subunit ribosomal RNA", at positions 28 to 507 of the family's 1533-position model. The record is from RNAcentral.